RNAcentral lists this ribosomal RNA (303 nucleotides) under uncultured bacterium. Its description in RNAcentral is "partial 16S ribosomal RNA". It matches the Rfam family "Bacterial small subunit ribosomal RNA", at positions 507 to 807 of the family's 1533-position model. The record is from RNAcentral.
AGCAGUCGCCGCGGUAAUACGGAAGGUCCGGGCGUUAUCCGGAUUUAUUGGGUUUAAAGGGAGCGUAGGCCGUGGAUUAAGCGUGUUGUGAAAUGCAGGUGCUCAACGUCUGCACUGCAGCGCGAACUGGUCCACUAGAGUGUGCGCGACGCAGGCGGAAUUCGUCGUGUAGCGGUGAAAUGCUUAGAUAUGACGAAGAACUCCGAUUGCGAAGGCAGCUUGCGGGAGCACAACUGACGCUGAAGCUCGAAAGUGCGGGUAUCGAACAGGAUUAGAUACCCCUGUAGUCCCUGUCUCUUAUAC